GGGGAAGUGGAUGGAUCCCAUUCUCCCACACACAAUCAUCUUCCUCGGACCUACCUUAAUUUCUCACAAAUCUUAAUAAACAUUUUAAUUCCUAUCUUAUGUUCUGCUCUAGGCUAGCUGCUAGAUUAAACUAUUCCAAUUCCUUGAGGGUCACACCAAUUUCUUUGACUUUCACCUUUUCGUUCUCCCCACUCACCUCAUUGCUUAUUUGUUACUUCUUCUUUUUUUUUUUUUUUUUAUUAUUGUUACAUCAAUUUAGGCCUUUAAGAAGUUUUUAAUUGAAGAAGGACCACGAC
Molecule: long non-coding RNA, 296 nt
Filed under: Vigna radiata
Lineage: Eukaryota; Viridiplantae; Streptophyta; Magnoliopsida; Fabales; Fabaceae
Description: long non-coding RNA (VRAD_LNC002482)
Source: RNAcentral